Molecule: ribosomal RNA, 263 nt
Filed under: uncultured bacterium
Lineage: Bacteria
Description: partial 16S ribosomal RNA
Rfam family: Bacterial small subunit ribosomal RNA
Source: RNAcentral
GUCCACGCCGUAAACGAUGAUAACUAGCUGUCCGGGCACUUGGUGCCUGGGUGGCGCAGCUAACGCAUUAAGUUAUCCGCCUGGGGAGUACGGUCGCAAGAUUAAAACUCAAAGGAAUUGACGGGGGCCUGCACAAGCGGUGGAGCAUGUGGUUUAAUUCGAAGCAACGCGCAGAACCUUACCAGCGUUUGACAUCCCGCGCUACAACCAGAGAUGGUUGGUUCCCUUCGGGGACGCGGUGACAGGUGCUGCAUGGCUGUCGU